AUGAUGGCUAUUUUUAUUAUCAAGAUUCCCAUUAUGAACAGGGGCUCUAGUCGGGACAGUUGUCAUCAUCCAGACUUAUGUCUGGGAUUUCUUCAGUAGGCUGAGAUUCUCCUGCUAAACAUGAGAAGCGAUUAUCAUCAUCUUGACUCUUGGACUCAAUAGACAGUUGUUCGAAUGGACUUGGUAGCUGUCUUUGCUGUCUUUUUUCAAUCUGAAUUCUAUAAUAUUCAGUUUUACUGGUGAUCAUUUUUAUUGUAUCUUGGCCCUCCAAUUCUUUUGUAGAGUUAUUAACUCUUGUCAUUUUAGACCAGAACUUUGUAUAAGAAGUUCUUUUGAGACAAGGAAAAUUGUCUCUCAGGGUAUAACCUAUUGUAGGCUUCCAUCUCCAUAUCCAAGGAAUAGAAAAUUCU
This 410-nucleotide long non-coding RNA is filed under the name Helianthus annuus (common sunflower). Its description in RNAcentral is "hypothetical non coding rna". Lineage: Eukaryota; Viridiplantae; Streptophyta; Magnoliopsida; Asterales; Asteraceae. The record is from RNAcentral.